UUGGAGGUCGGUCUGAAGCCUUCGAGCCCUCCCACCGUUUUGCUUUCUCCUCAGCGUCUUCUACUUCAUGCCUAUGGUUCCUUCUGCUUCUUCUCGUUCUUCCCCUUGGGUAAAGGCCUUCUUUCUCUCUUUCUCUCUCUCUCUCUUCUCGAUCUUGCUUUUGUUCUUGAUUCUUUUUCCCCCCUAGUUGGGGCUGCCAUUACUUUUUAGGUUUAAACGAAAGGCUGUGAUGAUUUCUUGGACGAGGGUUUUGUACGUUAUGAAUCAGGGAACGGCAACGAGAUCUGGCCCGCCGCCAUUGUGCAGGCAGCCGUUUGAUUUGUUGUAGAUAGUCUUCAGGCGAACAACACAAUGCUGGAUUAAGCGAUUAAUCCGAUCUUCCCUUCCUUUCUUCGCUUUUCUGAUUUCUGCUUUUUUUUUUCCUUUUUCAAGAUUUGGUUUUUCU
Molecule: long non-coding RNA, 445 nt
Filed under: Phoenix dactylifera (date palm)
Lineage: Eukaryota; Viridiplantae; Streptophyta; Magnoliopsida; Arecales; Arecaceae
Description: long non-coding RNA (PDAC_LNC018154)
Source: RNAcentral